This 870-nucleotide ribosomal RNA is filed under the name uncultured fungus. RNAcentral describes it as "eukaryotic LSU rRNA". The stretch from base 441 to 870 matches the Rfam family "Eukaryotic large subunit ribosomal RNA", at positions 1 to 429 of the family's 3401-position model. The record is from RNAcentral. Lineage: Eukaryota; Fungi.
UCCGUAGGUGAACCUGCGGAAGGAUCAUUAACUAUUCUGUGCUCCGGCACUAAUACCUUGUGAAUCGUCUGCAUUGCAGUCACACAUUUAUAUUAAAUCUUAUGUUUAAAUUUAUUAAAACAACUUUUAACAACGGAUCUCUAGGCUCUUGCAACGAUGAAGAACGCAGCAAAAUGCGAUACGUAAUGUGACAUGCAUUAGUUUGUGAAUCAUCAAAUCUUUGAACGCAAUUUGCACUUUUCAAGUAAUUGAAGAGUAUACCUGUUUGAGUAUCAAAUAAUUCUAUCCAAUUAUGUUUAUUAAUGUAAUUGGGAUAUGGCAGCACAUUUAUUGUCUGCUUGAAUGCAUAAAUGAUUGUUUUGCGGUAGUUAUUGACAUGUGGUACAAGUUUUACUUUGCUGGUUUUUAACUGCUGCAUUGCUCUGUUCAUUAUUUGAUUAUGAUCUCAAAUCAGGCAAGAGUACCCGCUGGACUUAAGCAUAUCAGUAAGCGGAGGAAAAGAAACUAACAAGGAUUCCCCCAGUAACGGCGAGUGAAGCGGGAUGAGCUCAAAUUUUAAAUCCAUGUGGUUCCCAUAUGGAAUUGUAAUCUAUAGAGGAGCGCUGAACCGAUGGCUAGGAUAAAAGUUCUUUGGAAAAAGACAUCAUAGAGGGUGAAAAUCCCGUCCAUGAUCCAAUGCUGUCGGAUAUCACGCUUUCUUAAAGAGUCGGGUUGUUUGGGAUUGCAGCCCUAAUAGGUGGUAAAUUUCAUCUAAAGCUAAAUAAUGGCAAGAGACCGAUAGCGAACAAGUACCGUGAGGGAAAGAUGAAAAGCAUCUUGAAAAGGGAGUUAAAUAGCACGUGAAAUUGUUAAAAGGGAAACGCUUGAAGU